AAUAGAUACCCUGGUAGUCCAUGCCGUAAACGUUGGGCACUAGGUGUGGGGGCUCGUUCCACGGAGUUCCGUGCCGCAGCAAACGCAUUAAGUGCCCCGCCUGGGGAGUACGGCCGCAAGGCUAAAACUCAAAGGAAUUGACGGGGGCCCGCACAAGCGGCGGAGCAUGCUGAUUAAUUCGAUGCAACACGAAGAACCUUACCAAGGCUUGACAUAUACCGAAAACUCAUGGAGACAUGGGGUCCGCAAGGGCGGUAUACAGGUGGUGCAUGGUUGUCGUCAGCUCGUGUCGUGAGAUGUUGGGUUAAGUCCCGCAACGAGCGCAACCCUCGUCCUAUGUUGCCAGCGCGUUAUGGCGGGGACUCAUAGGAGACUGCCGGGGUCAACUCGGAGGAAGGUGGGGAUGAGGUCAAAUCAUCAUGCCCCUUAUGUCUUGGGCUUCAAGCAUGCUACAAUGGCCGGUACAAAGGGCUGCGAUACCGCAAGGUGGAGCGAAUCCCAAAAAGCCGGUCUCAGUUCGGA
RNAcentral lists this ribosomal RNA (522 nucleotides) under uncultured bacterium. Its description in RNAcentral is "bacterial SSU rRNA". It matches the Rfam family "Bacterial small subunit ribosomal RNA", at positions 777 to 1297 of the family's 1533-position model. The record is from RNAcentral.